AGCGAACGCUGGCGGCAGGCCUAACACAUGCAAGUCGAACGAACUCUUCGGAGUUAGUGGCGGACGGGUGAGUAACACGUGGGAACGUGCCUUUAGGUUCGGAAUAACUCAGGGAAACUUGUGCUAAUACCGAAUGUGCCCUUCGGGGGAAAGAUUUAUCGCCUUUAGAGCGGCCCGCGUCUGAUUAGCUUGUUGGUGGGGUAAUGGCACACCAAGGCGACGAUCAGUAGCUGGUCUGAGAGGAUGACCAGCCACAUUGGGACUGAGACACGGCCCAAACUCCUACGGGGGGCAGCAGUGGGGAAUCUUGCGCAAUGGGCGAAAGCCUGACGCAGCCAUGCCGCGUGGAUGAUGAAGGUCUUAGGAUUGUAAAAUCCUUUCACCGGUGAAGAUAAUGACUGUAGCCGGAGAAGAAGCCCCGGCUAACUUCGUGCCAGCAGCCGCCGUAA
Molecule: ribosomal RNA, 449 nt
Filed under: uncultured bacterium
Lineage: Bacteria
Description: partial 16S ribosomal RNA
Rfam family: Bacterial small subunit ribosomal RNA
Source: RNAcentral